AACACAUGCAAGUCGAACGAGAAAACCUGCUUCGGUAGGCGAGUAAAGUGGCGCACGGGUGAGUAACACGUGGAUUAUUUACCUUCGAGCUCGGGAUAAUCUGCCGAAAGGCGGUCUAAUACCGGAUAAUACCAUGUCGUUGAGGCGAUAUGGUCAAAGGUUGCCUCUCCCUGGAAGCUGUCGCUCGAAGAUAAGUCCGCGCACUAUUAGCUAGUUGGUAGGGUAAAGGCCUACCAAGGCGAAGAUGGUUAGCUGGUCUGAGAGGAUGAUCAGCCACACUGGAACUGAGACACGGUCCAGACUCCUACGGGAGGCAGCAGUGGGGAAUAUUGCGCAAUGGGGGAAACCCUGACGCAGCCACGCCGCGUGAGUGAUGAAGGCCUUCGGGUCGUAAAGCUCUGUCAGAUGGAAAGAAGGUCUGUUGGCGAAUAACCAGCAGGCGUGACGGUACCAUCAAAGGAAGCACCGGCUAACUCCGUGCCAGCAGACGCGGUAAUACGGAGGGUGCAAGCGUUGGUCGGAAUUACUGGGCGUUAAGGGCGUGUAGGCGGCUAGUACGUCAGGUGUGAAAUCCCAGGGCUUAACUCUGGAAGUGCAUUUGAAACUACGUGGCUUGAGUACGGGAGAGGAGUGUGGAAUUCCCGGUGUAGAGGUGAAAUUCAUAGAUAUCGGGAGGAACACCAGUGGCGAAGGCGGCACUCUGGACCGAUACUGACGCUGAGACGCGAAAGCGUGGGUAGCAAACAGGAUUAGAGACCCUGGUAGUCCACGCUGUAAACGUUGUGCACUAGGUGUAGAGGGUAUCGACCCCUUCUGUGCCGCAGCUAACGCAUUAAGUGCACCGCCUGGGGAGUACGGUCGCAAGAUUAAAACUCAAAGGAAUUGACGGGGGCCCGCACAAGCGGUGGAGCAUGUGGUUUAAUUCGACGCAACGCGAAGAACCUUACCUGGACUUGACAUCUCCGGAAUUUUCUGGAAACAGAGAAGUGCCUCGAAAGGGGAGCCGGAAGACAGGUGCUGCAUGGCUGUCGUCAGCUCGUGUCGUGAGAUGUUGGGUUAAGUCCCGCAACGAGCGCAACCCUUAUCUCUAGUUGCCACCAUUUAGUUGGGCACCCUAGAGAAACUGCUCCGGUCAACGGGGAGGAAGGUGGGGAUGACGUCAAGUCCUCAUGGCCUUUAUGUCCAGGGCUACACACGUGCUACAAUGGCAAGUACAAAGGGCAGCUAACCCGUGAGGGUACGCAAAUCCCAAAAAGCUUGUCCCAGUUCGGAUUGGAGUCUGCAACUCGACUCCAUGAAGUUGGAAUCGCUAGUAAUCGUGGAUCAGCACGCCACGGUGAAUACGUUCCCGGGCCUUGUACACACCGCCCGUCACACCACGAAAGUUGAUUGCACCAGAAAUCGCUGGGCUAACCGCAAGGAGGCAGGCGCCUAAGG
This 1437-nucleotide ribosomal RNA is filed under the name uncultured delta proteobacterium. Its description in RNAcentral is "bacterial SSU rRNA". It matches the Rfam family "Bacterial small subunit ribosomal RNA". Lineage: Bacteria; Deltaproteobacteria. The record is from RNAcentral.